ACUUAAAUUGAAGAGUUUGAUCAUGGCUCAGAUUGAACGCUGGCGGCAGGCCUAACACAUGCAAGUCGAACGGUAGCACAGAGAGCUUGCUCUCGGGUGACGAGUGGCGGACGGGUGAGUAAUGUCUGGGAAACUGCCUGAUGGAGGGGGAUAACUACUGGAAACGGUAGCUAAUACCGCAUAACGUCGCAAGACCAAAGAGGGGGACCUUCGGGCCUCUUGCCAUCAGAUGUGCCCAGAUGGGAUUAGCUAGUAGGUGGGGUAACGGCUCACCUAGGCGACGAUCCCUAGCUGGUCUGAGAGGAUGACCAGCCACACUGGAACUGAGACACGGUCCAGACUCCUACGGGAGGCAGCAGUGGGGAAUAUUGCACAAUGGGCG
This 382-nucleotide ribosomal RNA is filed under the name Klebsiella michiganensis. Its description in RNAcentral is "bacterial SSU rRNA". It matches the Rfam family "Bacterial small subunit ribosomal RNA", at positions 1 to 377 of the family's 1533-position model. Lineage: Bacteria; Pseudomonadati; Pseudomonadota; Gammaproteobacteria; Enterobacterales; Enterobacteriaceae. The record is from RNAcentral.